GGAUUGUAGGCUGCAACUCGCCUACAUGAAGUCGGAAUCGCUAGUAAUCGCGGAUCAGCAUGCCGCGGUGAAUACGUUCCCGGGCCUUGUACACACCGCCCGUCACACCAUGAGAGUUUGUAACACCCAAAGCCGGUGGGGUAACCUUUUGGAGCCAGCCGUCUAAGGUGGGACAGAUGAUUGGGGUGAAGUCGUAACAAGGUAGC
Molecule: ribosomal RNA, 206 nt
Filed under: uncultured bacterium
Lineage: Bacteria
Description: partial 16S ribosomal RNA
Rfam family: Bacterial small subunit ribosomal RNA
Source: RNAcentral